GGAGGAGUAGCGAAGUCUGGCCAAACGCGGCGGACUGUAAAUCCGCUCUCUCUGAGUUCGGCGGUUCGAAUCCGUCCUCCUCCACCA
RNAcentral lists this transfer RNA (87 nucleotides) under Natribacillus halophilus. RNAcentral's name for it is "tRNA_Tyr_GTA". It matches the Rfam family "tRNA". From Rfam's summary of the family: Transfer RNA (tRNA) molecules are approximately 80 nucleotides in length. Their secondary structure includes four short double-helical elements and three loops (D, anti-codon, and T loops). Further hydrogen bonds mediate the characteristic L-shaped molecular structure. tRNAs have two regions of fundamental functional importance: the anti-codon, which is responsible for specific mRNA codon recognition, and the 3' end, to which the tRNAs corresponding amino acid is attached (by aminoacyl-tRNA synthetases). tRNAs cope with the degeneracy of the genetic code in two manners: having more than one tRNA (with a specific anti-codon) for a particular amino acid; and 'wobble' base-pairing, i.e. permitting non-standard base-pairing at the 3rd anti-codon position. The record is from RNAcentral. Lineage: Bacteria; Bacillati; Bacillota; Bacilli; Caryophanales; Bacillaceae.